This 322-nucleotide ribosomal RNA is filed under the name uncultured Rhogostoma. RNAcentral describes it as "SSU rRNA". The stretch from base 112 to 322 matches the Rfam family "Eukaryotic small subunit ribosomal RNA", at positions 744 to 955 of the family's 1831-position model. The record is from RNAcentral. Lineage: Eukaryota; Cercozoa; Thecofilosea; Cryomonadida.
GAUUUCUGGCCUGAAACCUUUUGCCGGCCACGGUUUCGUGUGUUAGUGCUUGAGGUUCUGGCCAUCCUUCCAAUCGCUAUUCACCUUUCUUCAUUGAUUGGGGAGUGGUAUUGGAUCUUUUACUUUGAAAAAAUUAGAGUGUUUCAAGCAGGCUUUAUGCUAUGAAUACAUUAGCAUGGAAUAAUAAUUUAGGACUUCGGUUCUAUUUUGUUGGUUUCUAGGACUGAAGUAAUGAUUGAUAGGGAUAGUUGGGGGUGCUAGUAUUCAGCGGCCAGAGGUGAAAUUCUCGGAUUCGCUGAAGACUAACUUAUGCGAAAGCAUU